CCCGGCGACCGGCGCACGGGUGAGUAACGCGUGUGCAACCUGCCCGGCACAGUGGGAUAAUCCGGAGAAAUCCGGUCUAAUACCGCGUAACGCGGCCUUGGGGCAUCCCAAGGCCGCCAAAGGGAGCAAUCCCGGCCACGGAUGGGCAUGCGGCGCAUUAGCUAGUCGGCGGGGUAACGGCCCACCGAGGCGACGAUGCGUAGGGGUUCUGAGAGGAAGGCCCCCCACACUGGUACUGAGACACGGACCAGACUCCUACGGGAGGCAGCAG
Molecule: ribosomal RNA, 271 nt
Filed under: uncultured bacterium
Lineage: Bacteria
Description: partial 16S ribosomal RNA
Rfam family: Bacterial small subunit ribosomal RNA
Source: RNAcentral